UGUCAAUAAAGAAAUUAGCCAGUUGAAUG
Molecule: non-coding RNA, 29 nt
Filed under: Mus musculus (house mouse)
Lineage: Eukaryota; Metazoa; Chordata; Mammalia; Rodentia; Muridae
Source: RNAcentral